This 4712-nucleotide long non-coding RNA is filed under the name Lepisosteus oculatus (spotted gar). RNAcentral describes it as "lncRNA (ENSLOCG00000022351.1)". The record is from RNAcentral. Lineage: Eukaryota; Metazoa; Chordata; Actinopteri; Semionotiformes; Lepisosteidae.
CACUCUUAGGCAAGGUGUAGAAAAUGUAAUCAGUUCUGUUCAGUGCCAAUCUGGCUGUGUUUCCCUUUAAUUGCUCUGGUUGUGCUAAUUGACAUGAUUAAAGUAAUCGAUGCCCGUUCCUCUCUUGGCACAGGAGAGAAAUGUGGUAGGUGCGUCGUCAAGCUGGUCGGAGUGCCGGAGCUGGAUCGGAGCUUUGUGGACAUCGCCGACACCUUCAAUCGCCAGCAGGAGGGUCACCAGGCUAUGACACAAAGCGUAAGACAGCUGAAGAGCAGCGCCGGGGGCGGCCCUGGGAGCAGUCUGAGUGACUGUCUGGAGCAGAUGAAGAAGGAGCACGGUGCCUGCAACAUCAGCAUUCAGAUGAAGGGCUAUGACUUCUCGCUGGUGGUGCAGCCAGACGCCACCUCUGCCAAGCUGCUGGAGGCCCAGGAGCAGGUCAGGAGGGCCAGUCAGGGGUCCAAGUCCGUAGCCGCUGCUGGCACCAAGCUGCAGGAGAUGAUCAGCUCGGUGCUGCAGGGCGAGGCGCUGCUGUCCCGGAGAGUGAAGGAGGCCAGCCAGACCUACCAGGAGCAGGUCCGCGUGGAGGCCAACCUGAGGGACAACCUUCUGGAGGUCCGCAGAGCCAGGGAGCUCUCGGCCCAGUACAGGAAAGAGGCCGGUGCCCUGCUCAAUGAGGUGGCACAGCUCGCCGGCAUCACCCCCUAGUUCACUGCAGCGCUGCAGCUCAGCGCAGCAGGAUGCGCAGCUCUCACCUGCUCUGCUGUAGGACCUCAAGUGUCUGCUUCUGCGCUGGAGGUGGCAGUGAAGAGCAGCGGUGAGGCCGCUGGGCUGCUGCCUGGAGGGCUGUGUGUGCUUGAGGGAAGGACUUGACUGUCUGCAUCACUUUACACGCCGGUAUCGGCUUUGCGUGGGUUAGCCCUGCGGGGCACCUGUGGCCCCCCCGGGGGCGAGUCUCACGCUCUUUCUGCCUCCAGCCUGAUGAGACACUAGGCAUGAGGAAGGACUCUCCCUUACUUUCUACAAGCAUUGUAAGUGUAUGCUAGAUAUAAAUGUUGGGGUGGGGAGCUGCGUCAGCAUGCGUAGGCUGCAAGGGAACAAGUAAUAGGUUUAUUCCAUGCUGAAAAAAAGAAGAAAGAGAACACAACGUUUCGGCCGUGGAGCCUUCUUCAGGUGCCUUCUUCAGGCUCUUUGACACCUGAAGAAGGCUCCACGGCCGAAACGUUGUGUUCUCUUUCUUCUUUUUUUCAGCAUGGAAUAAACCCAUUACUUGUUCCUAGAUAUAAAUGUGUGAGCAUAUUAAUACAGAGUAUUCAUAGGUGUUAAAGGUAUUCAUGGCAUAUAAGAUGGUGUAUUAUGUUUUUAAAACAUAAUCACCGUCAGUGUAUUUUCUAACAAUUAAUUGCUUGAGUUUGUACAGCGAUUAACAUAUAGGAGAGGACUCACUUCUGAAGGGAAUUCACCACUGAAGCACAGCCCCCAGCUCCACUGUGCAGCAGAUCAGGUGGAGAACGGGGACACGGGUUCACUCUAUGAAUGAAGGCAGACAUUUACAUUGACUUACAGUACUCUUAUGGCACUGCUCUUUGGCCCUUUGGUUUGGUGUUCUGUUUGACUGAUGGUGCCCGGCGCUCCUCUCGCUGGGCGAGAUGAAAGGAGAUCUCACCCACACCCUGCCCGGGGCGUCGGAGAGAACGCGCUUCUCAGCUGUGGGCUCCCAGCUGGCUUGUGCAUCCCUGGCCGAGCAGGCUUGAAAGGGCUUUGAAAGGUGGGCUCAUCCUAAGUUGGGGAGCUCUGUUUGCACCAUUUCUGAAAACCUUUUCCCUGCAGCCCUGCCAGGUUUCUAAGACACUGCAUUGAACAGCAGUGGAGGCUUCUCUGGAAACUGAACUUUUUAUGUAACUGGAGCCUGCUGUUGCGUAACACAGAGGCUGAGAAUAUCAGCUCUUUUCAAGUGUUAGUAAAAUUCUGGCCCUUGUAGGGACAGUAUGUAUCUUUUGCGGGCUCUUCUGGAAUGAGCUCUUCACUCUAAAGGCAGCUGUUGAUAUCGGCUCAUGCUGUUAUUCGCAUAGGACCCGAGGAGGGAUGUCUGCCUUCUUCAGGCUGUGUUUAAACGUGUUGUAGCUCUGCAAGGACCCUGCUGUCACACGGACUCGCACGCUGCUCCCUGCUGCAGGGGACGAGCCCUGAAGGUGCCUGCAGCACGUGGCGGCUCGGCUGUCAUCGGGAGAGCAUGCAGCGCUCAGGGAGGAUCUGCAGACCCGGCUCAGCCCCGAAAGCAUGUCUUGAAGUUUGUUGUGCAGCUGGAAGGUGGUUGCUUCCAGUGUGCCUGACUCGUCUCUAUGUGCGUUGCUGUUCCCCACAUGGUGACCCUAAUUAGACUUGACAGGGUGAAGGUCGUGGUUGGAGGGUAGGAAGGGCUCACUGACUGCGGCAAAGGGCUUCCAAGAGCCUGGAGUUGAGCCAUGAAGCCGCUGUUGUUGUUGAUGUUGUCUCCUGCUAGCCGGCGCCUCUGUUUUCCCUGCAGGAGAAGUGCAAUGGGUAGUGGGGGUGGGUAAAUGUAGGCAAGUGAGCCUGAGAGAGGGACAGGCUGUAGCAAAGGGAUGGAAUUUGAAAAUGUCGUAUUUUAGACAAUGGCAGUGGUUUCCACUUUAACUGAUCAGGUGGAAUUUCAAUAUGGCACACACUAUCUCUGCAUUUUAAGUGCCUUUAAGUAUAUUAACCCCCUAUGCCCUUAUGAAUUCGUACCAUAUGCUUGUGCCUACAACAGAGCAUCAUGUCUGCAUGCAGUGGCGGUGUUUGUACAUCCUUCUGAUUUUUUUUAACACAGUGAUUUUAGGAACUUGGCCACUCCUGACUUAAUGGGACCAGUAAAUUACUAAUUAUCCAACCUCAGAAGUGUUACGAAUGUUAAGAGAUCCAUGAAUUAAGUCUCCCAGGCCUGGUGCUGGUCACACCCUGUCCUCUGCAGAGACUGGGGCGGAUCAGGACCAGGGUCGAGACCCCCUGAGCCAGAAGACCUGUGGGAUGCAGAAGUGAUGAUAUGAAUGAAAGCUGAUAUGAUAAUAUUUCUUCUCACUAUUCAGUUACAUACUGUAUGGCUCUGUUGGUUCUUCUCGGAGUAGUGUAGAGGACAGUUUAUUUUAUAUUCUUAAAGAUUAACUGAGAAAUGCUUGUUUUAUUCAUUAUUGCAAAAAGAUUUUCUGAGCAUGCGCUUGUCAUUAAGUGUAUGAGCACUGAUCGAGUGUUGUAACUAGCAAGAUCUGAUUUGAAUAAUGAAUUAAUUUCGAGCCCUGAAAUGUAAUGAUGUACCGGAAAUAUCUUUACUUCUUGAACAUGGUGUAUUUGUGAAAUUUAUAAGAAUAUUUUACCUGCACUAUUACUGUGAAAGUAGGUUUUUCAACUGUUUUUGUUUCUUGUACACUAAAUCCCCUCUGUACCCCUGUAAGGGCUUCAGUUUUGUGCUUUGCUGCUCUGUAUAAUGUGUUAGCUUCAUUAACCAUCAUCUUGCUUUGCAAUGGCCCUAAUAUGUAUCUCUAUUUUAUACACAAAUAUUCUCUUUACUUAAAAAAAAAACUAAUUUCUAAAAUUGUUCAGUUGAAAGGAUCUAUAAUUUCAGUUUACCACUUUUGUCAAAGUUGAUACCUUGGCUCUUUUCAACACAAGGCCGGAUGAGAUCCUCAGCUUCUUUAGCUACUGAAAAGCAGACGUGCUGGAUGAGCCGAGAGAGCUGUUCUCCUUGGUAACUGUGCUCAAAAGCUACAGUGAACGAUAACAGACAGCAAACUGACACAUGAAGUAAGGACAUAAAGAAGGAUUCAAACGAGAAGGGGCCACUCAGUCCAUUUAGUCUUUAGUAGCUGUAAACAUCUGAACAGUUAGAAAUUACAGGAAGCCAUUUGGCCUGUCAAGCUCUGAUGGUAUCUGGUAGUUAACUGACCUGAGGAUCACAGUGUUUCUUCAGCUAAACCAGAGUUUCUCCUUCAACAACAUGGCUGGGCAGUGUGUUCCCAACUCUAACAGCCUUUAUAAGAACAUAAUUAUUUACGGAUUGAGCAGUUUUUAGUUUUAAUGACUUUAAAGACCUGGUACCCUUUUUACUUUCAGAAUGCUAUUGCCAUUGAAAAUGGACCUUUUAAAACUAUGAAUAUGUGAUCAUUGUUCUCUGCCCUAGCACAAAUCUUUUUAAUUAUUCUGUUUUUGUUUGUUGUUAAUGGAUUUACACCCCAUUCCAUCAGGAACAUGUGAUGCAUUUUUGUUCUUGUGAAUCUGAGCCCCUGAGUAAAGCCUUCAUUGUAUAUUGCUGAGAAGAGAAUGUGAACAGUUCAAAGGUUUAUUUCUAUAAUUGCAUGUAAUUAGCAGAUUGAAUCACAUUUAUAAAAAUGCUGCAUUAAGUUAAUAAUGUGAUACUGUGAUUUUGAAGAAUCAAAAUGAAGUAUUUUAUGUAUAUUGUAGUUUUAAUUUAAAACCUCUUGAAGUCUAAAAUACUGUAUAUUAUUGAAGUUGCUUGUUGUGUAUUCAUGCAUUGUACUAAUAGCACUUUGGUGGUAAUCUUAGUUUGCCAUAAUAAACUGAUGACCUAUAAAAUGUAAUGUAAAAUGUAAAAUGUAAGGGUUACUGGUUAAUUAUACUUUUGACAUGGUCUCUGAAUUUUGGAAUUAAAUUUAUGUUGCCGAAUAAAUGUUGCAGUAAAUUAAAUUUGUUGCAGACUCAAA